This 911-nucleotide ribosomal RNA is filed under the name Aspergillus fumigatus. RNAcentral describes it as "LSU rRNA". It matches the Rfam family "Eukaryotic large subunit ribosomal RNA", at positions 38 to 964 of the family's 3401-position model. Lineage: Eukaryota; Fungi; Ascomycota; Eurotiomycetes; Eurotiales; Aspergillaceae. The record is from RNAcentral.
GCAUAUCAAUAAGCGGAGGAAAAGAAACCAACAGGGAUUGCCUCAGUAACGGCGAGUGAAGCGGCAAGAGCUCAAAUUUGAAAGCUGGCCCCCUCGGGGUCCGCGUUGUAAUUUGCAGAGGAUGCUUCGGGUGCAGCCCCCGUCUAAGUGCCCUGGAACGGGCCGUCAUAGAGGGUGAGAAUCCCGUCUGGGACGGGGUGUCUGCGUCCGUGUGAAGCUCCUUCGACGAGUCGAGUUGUUUGGGAAUGCAGCUCUAAAUGGGUGGUAAAUUUCAUCUAAAGCUAAAUACUGGCCGGAGACCGAUAGCGCACAAGUAGAGUGAUCGAAAGAUGAAAAGCACUUUGAAAAGAGAGUUAAACAGCACGUGAAAUUGUUGAAAGGGAAGCGUUUGCGACCAGACUCGCCCGCAGGGUUCAGCCGGCAUUCGUGCCGGUGUACUUCCCUGUGGGCGGGCCAGCGUCGGUUUGGGCGGCCGGUCAAAGGCCCUCGGAAUGUAUCACCUCUCGGGGUGUCUUAUAGCCGAGGGUGCAAUGCGGCCUGCCCGGACCGAGGAACGCGCUUCGGCUCGGACGCUGGCGUAAUGGUCGUAAAUGACCCGUCUUGAAACACGGACCAAGGAGUCUAACAUCUACGCGAGUGUUCGGGUGUCAAACCCGUACGCGCAGUGAAAGCGAACGGAGGUGGGAGCCCCCUCGUGGGGCGCACCAUCGACCGAUCCUGAUGUCUUCGGAUGGAUUUGAGUACGAGCGUAGCUGUGGGGACCCGAAAGAUGGUGAACUAUGCCUGAAUAGGGCGAAGCCAGAGGAAACUCUGGUGGAGGCUCGCAGCGGUUCUGACGUGCAAAUCGAUCGUCAAAUUUGGGUAUAGGGGCGAAAGACUAAUCGAACCAUCUAGUAGCUGGUUCCUGCCGA